This 3586-nucleotide long non-coding RNA is filed under the name Homo sapiens (human). RNAcentral's name for it is "NEPRO antisense RNA 1, transcript variant 6 (NEPRO-AS1)". Lineage: Eukaryota; Metazoa; Chordata; Mammalia; Primates; Hominidae. The record is from RNAcentral.
AUCCUCGCCCGGCGCCUCACUCACCAAGGGCCGCGCCGGGGUUCUGCACUGUCACUGCGCUGCGGUUCCCCGCCUUAGGGAUUCUCACACGGUUCCACGGCUCCAGGCCCGGCGGCACCGCAGCCAUCAUGCGAGGCGGGGGGACUUACGAAAGGCGGAGCUACGCGAGAGCACGUCCAGCGACCGGAGUCUGGAACAGUUCCUCGUUCUUUCUCUGGCUCUGGAUCUGCGUCCCUGACAGUCUUAAAGAGGACAGACCUUUCAUUCAUGAGGAUGACCCUCAACUUGGCCCAGUCCAUGUUUCCUCAGACUCAAGCCUUGCAUUCCUGGCAGAAAGACUGAAGAAAUGAUGCUGUGCUCUUCUCAGUGCUUCGCGUCAGGAGGCUCUACUCUCUCAACCGGCCCCACUAUUGGUGCCGCGUUUUGGAGUAGUGUGUCCUGUACCUGUCACCUUUAACAAACAAUUAUUGAGCACCUACUGGGUGCCAGAUACUCCACCAGGCUCUGAGAGGACAGAAAUGCAUAAGACACAAUUCCUGCUCUCAAGGAGGCCUUUCAAAAAGAAGAGAGUAGAAAAAAUUCACACAUUUCCCCCAUUCCAAAAUGACAUCUGAAGAAAGGAAAAGAAAAAGACGCAGCCUCAUCCUGUCACCUGGGCUGGAGUGCAAUGGCGUGAUCUCGGCUCACUGCAACCUUCAUCUCCCGUGUUCAAACGAUUCUCCUGCCUCAGCCUCCCAAGUAGCUGGAAUUACAAGCACCUGCCACCAUGCCCAGCUAAUUUUUGUAUUUUUAGGAGAGAUGGGGUUUCACCAUGUUGGCCAGGCUGGUCUCAAACUCCUGACCUGGUGAUCUGCCCACCUUGGCCUCCCAAAGUUCUGGGAUUACAGGCGUGAGCCACUGUGCCCGGCCGAGACUGUUAAGAUUUUAUUGCCCUAGUACCAGCAGUUAUGAUGUUCUAUAGAACUUAUAGCUGAGCCCAUGCCAGGGAUUCCCCAGCUCACUGAAGCUGGAAGGAAGCCAACUGGACUGCCGAGUUCACUUUAGGAAGAGAGAGGGAGUUAACUUAAAGUAGGAGGUGGGUUGGAGGAAGGAUAGAAGCCCAGAAAGUAAGUAAGGCAUUGUAAAGUCACACCUUAGGCUCUGCAGUCAGACAGAGCUGGCUGUGGGUGACUUUCCGAUAUUUACUAGCUUAGGAUAUUAAGCAAGUGCUUUAAUCACGCCAAGACUCAGUUUUCCCAUCUGUGAACUGGAGGUCAUAAUAGUACUUGCCUUGUUGGAUUGUUGUGAGGAUUCGAUGAGAUAAAGUCUGAAAAGAAUUUAGCACAGUGUCUGGUUCACAGUAAAAGUUAAAUCAAUAUUAUUUUCUAUUAUCAUAAUUAUAAAUAAUGGCAUGAGCAAAGGAGAGGCUGCGAGUAGAGUUCGCACUUUCCCUCCCUAAGUGUCAGUGCGUCUGGAGAGAAGACAAACAUUCUUACGUAUAAACAGUCCCUUCCGUGUGACUCUCUCAUCCAAGCCUGCUGCAUACCUUGGGUGUGAGGGCAAAGAGUAGUAAAAAGGAAGAAAAAUGGAAGAAGAAAGAAGAGACCACAAAAGCAGAAGAGAUUCACCGGGGGUGAGGGGCACCAGGGCAGCAGGGUGGGGGCAGGAAUGAUUGGAAAAAGACAUGCAAAAGACAACCACGUGAAAGAAAUGAAUAUGGAUAUGGAAAUUGUCAAAAAUGGAAAGAAGUUUUGCAGCUGGAUGUGGACAGAGCAGGAAAUGUGGAGGAGAGGUGUAGGAGUCUAAAAAUGUACAGGGUUUAGUUUGCCGGCCAACACCUCCUCUGGGGAGGUAACAACUCCUGAAAGCCAUGAACUUUUAAAAAGGAACCUAAACAGCACAGCAAACCUUCCUGAAGAACAUAUAACCUCACUGUGUACUUUUUGUCAGCCUCAAUUCCUUCCCCACAACUCUCACUGAGCCAUUGAUCAGUGACUCACCCUUAUCUCCCACGAUCUCACACUCCGCUGUAACCCUAAAGAAAACUCUGCUCCUUAAGGUAAUCCUUGACACUGUGCUGUGCAGGCCUCUGCUGCAAAGGGUAGGGGCAAAAUUACACCAUGCCUGGAGCUUAGUAAGUGCUCCAGGCAUGGGGUAAUUCAACAAACAAUGUUGGUUGAAUGAACAGAGGGAUGAAUGGUGUGGUAUACUUGAGGCAAGCCUACAUGCAAGUCAACAAGACUGCUCAUUGGAUCACUUGAGCCCAGGAGUUUGAAAUCAGCCUGGGCAAUAUAGUAAGACCUUGUCUCUACAAAAAAAAAAAAAAAAAAAAAAAAAAAUUAGCCGGGUGUGGUGGCACAUGCCUGUAGUCCCAGCUACUUGGGAGGCAGAGGUGGGAGGAUCCCUUGAGCCCAGUAGUUCGAGGCUGCAGUAAGCUAUGAUAGUGCCACUGCCCUCCAGCCUGGGAGACAGUGAGACUGUCUCAAAAAAGAAAGACUGCUCAUGGGGACAGGAUUUCUUUCUGGGGGAAAGAAAUGUCCUGGAAUUAGAUAGUGGUGAUGGUUGUACAAUUUUCUGAAUGUAUUAAAACCCACUAAACUGUACAAUUUAAAACGGUAAAACAGUAUGUGAAUUGUAUCCCAAUAACUUUAAAAAGCACAAACUAUAGCCAGGGAGAAGCAAACAGUCAUGACUAGUACCUCUCUUCCAAUUGCACUCUUUUUUUUUUGCUUUGUUUUCCCCCCGUAAGUUAUUGGAGUACAGGUGGUAUCUGUUUAAGUGAGUAAGUUCUUUAGUGGCAAUUUGUGAGAUUUUGGUGCACCCAUCACCCAAGUGCACUCUUGACACCGGGUUCUCUUCUCAUCCUUUUGCUUCUUCUCAGGACAUAGUGAUUAUCUUUAAAAGCCUUUCUCAUGUGGUUUUUGUUUGUUUGUUUUUGGAUUUUCAAGUGUUCUGGAAAUCUCAGUGGGACCAACGAUGGUUAGAUCUCGUAGUAAUAAAGUGACUAUGUAAGAGAAGCUCAGUUCUUUCUUGAACAUUUCUCUAGGACCUGUGCUAACUUUUCAAGCUUGAACAGUCCUCAAGAUAAAGAUUCACUUUCAUAGCGAGCGUCUUUCACAUGGCCCCAGCCACCUGAGGCUCGGCAUCAAAGAAAUUUUUUAGGAAAUCUAUUGCCUAACUAUCAUGUCUCUUAGCCUUAUAGUGCCCUUAUGGAACACCUUAUCUUCCCUGAUAGUCAAGAGCAUUUAAAUGAACAGAAACGGUUUCCCAGAUGGGAUGGAGAGGAAGAACACAGUGUAGCAAUAGAUUCUCCCGGGAUUUUUUUGUUUUUGUUUUUGGUUUUGGCUUAUUGUUGUUGUUGUGUGUGUGUGUUUGAGUCAGUGUCUUGUUCUGUCACCCAGGUUGGAGUGCAGUGACAUGAUUUUAGCCCUCUGUAACCUUGAACUCCUGGGCUCAAGUGAUCCUUCCACCUCAGCCUCCUGAGUAGCGGUAUCAUUGCGGCCAGCUCUCCUUUUCCUUUAACUUUCCUGUUUAGUCACAACCUGCCUUCUUAUACAUACCUAUAAACACAUGGACAUCAAUAUUAAAAAAUGUUGUUUUCUAUGGA